AGUGAACGCUGGCGGUAGGCCCAACACAUGCAAGUCGAACGGCAGCACAGGAGAGCUUGCUCUCUGGGUGGCGAGUGGCGGACGGGUGGGGAAUACAUCGGAAUCUACUUUUUCGUGGGGGAUAACGUAGGGAAACUUACGCUAAUACCGCAUACGACCUACGGGUGAAAGCAGGGGAUCUUCGGACCUUGCGCGAUUGAAUGAGCCGAUGUCGGAUUAGCUAGUUGGCGGGGUAAAGGCCCACCAAGGCGACGAUCCGUAGCUGGUCUGAGAGGAUGAUCAGCCAAACUGGAACUGAGAAACGGACCAGACUCGUACGGGAGGCAGCAGGGGGGAAUAUUGGACAAUGGGCGCAAGCCUGAUCCAGCCAUACCGCGUGGGUGAAGAAGGCCUUCGGGUUGUAAAGCCCUUUUGUUGGGAAAGAAAUCCAGCUGGCUAUACCCGGUUGGGAUGACGGUACCCAAAGAAUAAGCACCGGCUAACUUCGUGCCAGCCGCCGCCGUAA
Molecule: ribosomal RNA, 505 nt
Filed under: uncultured bacterium
Lineage: Bacteria
Description: partial 16S ribosomal RNA
Rfam family: Bacterial small subunit ribosomal RNA
Source: RNAcentral